RNAcentral lists this ribosomal RNA (382 nucleotides) under uncultured eukaryote. Its description in RNAcentral is "partial 18S ribosomal RNA". It matches the Rfam family "Eukaryotic small subunit ribosomal RNA", at positions 592 to 976 of the family's 1831-position model. The record is from RNAcentral.
UGUAGGCGUAUACCAAAGUUGUUGCAGUUAAAACGCUCGUAGUCGGAAUUUGGCAGUUCCGGAAGUGUGCACGUCGUGUGCGCACUUUGCGGGGACUGCUUUUGUGGUCUUGCGUAGGAUGAGGCACUUUCAUUAGUGAACGUCCUCACGCAACCACUCUUUACUGUGAGAAAAUCAGAGUGCUCAAAGCAGGCAUUUGCCGUGAAUGUAUUAGCAUGGAAUAAUAGAAUAGGACUCGGUUCUAUUUUGUUGGUUUGUUGGGACUGAGUAAUGAUUAAGAGGGACAGUUGAGGGCAUUUGUAUUCCGGCGCUAGAGGUGAAAUUCUUAGAUUGCCGGAAGACAAACUGCUGCGAAAGCGUCUGCCAAGGAUGUUUUCAUUGA